Molecule: long non-coding RNA, 2076 nt
Organism: Lutzomyia longipalpis
Lineage: Eukaryota; Metazoa; Arthropoda; Insecta; Diptera; Psychodidae
Exons: 2
Source: RefSeq, a predicted model, not a curated record
AACUCUGAAGGGAGGCAUUCAAGAGAUCCUUCUUUUUGUACGUACACACACCCAUCUCUGGCGCAUUCCUGGACAUUUUGGGGGCUUCCUGGAUGUUGAAAGUUUUCUUUAUGAUUUUUCCGGCUGUGAAAAAGAAAUAUUUCUUUCUUUUACUCUGAAUUUAUUCCCGUGACAUCAUUUUGUGGGGCUCCUCACAGCAAGAAUUAAAAAAAAAUUAGAGACACAUUUAUUGCCCAAAAAUGGAUUUCCCAAAAAAAAAAACGGGAGGUUGAGGCCAAAAACAUAACAUAGAUGGGAUAGAGAGAAGUUCUACUAUUUUUUUCUGUGUGAAAAAAAUCAUUCUCUCUGACUCGUUUUACGUAAGCGAAUUACGCUAAUCGCUUUUUUUGUUGCUCAUCUUUUUUUAAAGUCCAUUCAUGUGAUCUGUUUGUUCCUCGCGCGCGCUUUUGGGCUCGUCUCUUACUUUGCUUCACUGAAAAUAUUAAAGGGGCAAACAGCUGGUGAAUUUUAUUGCUUUGCUUUUAGUUUUUUUCUUUUCAUUUGCUUUUGAGAAGUAUUUGAAGCAAAAUUUAAAAGCUUUAAAUUGUGCAUAAAAAGAUUUUCUCUGUAAAAAAAAAAAGAUUUUUCGCGGGAUUCGAACCCAUGACUUUAGAAAGAAAUGAUCGUGUUUGAACCUAUUGCACUAAAGAGUGUUACACUGGAGUGUUUUUUUCUUUUUUUUCUUAAAGGUUUGUAGAUAAUUUAUAAAUUUUAUUUGUUCUGAAUUUUUUGAAAUUCUCGGUUUUCUUUAAAAAGAAUCUCAGAAAAUCCUUUUGAUUGGAUUUCAUAUCGAGAACUAAUAACUUUUAAUUCUUUAAUCUUUAUCUACUUUAGCACAGAAUUUGUAGGAUUUUUUUAAAGCUACAGGAACUUAGAUUGAGAUCUUUUGGGGAGAAUUUUGUGUAAAAAAAAUCAAAGUUCUGAAAGAAAAAAAUCAAACAAGGACGAGAUUCGAUCCCACUUCAUUGGAAUAGUUAGAAGAAAUCAAAGAGAAGCAAUUUUAACCUCUCGGCUAUCAGUGACUCAAUUUAUAAUUUUUUUGAAUAGUUCUUAUGAAAUUUUCAUAAUUUUUGACAUUUAAAGAAAAUAAGAGUUAGUUUUAAAAAAUUCUCCAAUUUAUUUAAAUUAUUUAGUAUAGGUAAAUUUUUUCUCCAUCUAUUUGCCCUUUUGUUUCCAUCAAUUUUUCGCGCAAAAUCUAUUAUGCACACACACUGAACCACAUAAAAAAUAAAUAAUACUUAACACAGCUGGAACAGCUGGAAGGUCUUUUUCUCUGUACAAUAAUUUCCACGCAAUUUCCUAUAAAACAUUUACUUAAAAAAAAUUAUUUAGAAUUUAAGAAAAAAGAAAAAUCCAACUAAAUUCAUCUUUACACGAUCCCCGUGCUUUUUGCAUUUAAUUUUAUCUGCUGAGCUUGACGCCGUUUUUUUUUAAAUUUAUUUUCUUGUUGAACUGUUGCUUCUAACGGAGGAGGAGGGGACGGCCUUGUGGGGUGGGGGCGUGCAGGGAAAAAAAUCUGUGAAGCUCCCAGGCUGUGUCCCUGGCCAAAUUAUUAAAAAAAAUUGGCACUUUGCCAAAAUUUGAUGUUCAUGUUACGAAACAGACACACACGUAGAGAGACAGACGUUGGGUUCCCCAUUCGAAGAAAGCGAAAUAAACAAGAGAAAAUAACAAAUCCCACCCACAAUUUUUCAAGGAUCACAAAAUAAAAGAAAAAAAAACUCCACGGGGUUGGGCAUUUGUUUGUAUAAAUUUGCAACAUUUAGCAGAGAAGCCCUCACAGAGAGAAAUUCUCAAAUAUAUUCUUUUCUUUGUAAGAAAGUCUGUGGUGGUGGAGAUCAAGCCAAGAAUGCGCACCUACAAUCCACCCUCGUGAGCCACUCAAGUUCAAUGUCAAAGACGUUGACCGUCAAUGUGACUCUCGAACGCCCAACGAGUUUAUAUUGUAUUGAGGCCAGACUUUUUUUUAUUGUAAAUUGAGAGGAGCACAGAUAUGUGAUUGAAUAAAAUGCAAAAAAAAAUUAAUUUAAAAGCAAA